This 266-nucleotide unclassified non-coding RNA is filed under the name Hevea brasiliensis (rubber tree). The record is from RNAcentral. Lineage: Eukaryota; Viridiplantae; Streptophyta; Magnoliopsida; Malpighiales; Euphorbiaceae.
AGAAAUGGAACCUGAUGACAAAAGAGUAAAUGGGUUUCCAGCGAGCAUUGCUGAGGAAAAUGCUGCCGAACAUUUAGAUAUGGAAUUUCAUUUUUAUCUAUCAGAUGAUAAGGCAAUUACUAAAGGCGCUGAGAUUGUAAUGAAUGAGCCAUUAAAGUCCACAGAUAUCCCUGGACGGUUAAAUGUACUUGUAAAUUGGUCACCUAAAAUGGUUGAAAAAUACAAUACAAGUCUUUUCAGCUCACUGCCCGAAGUUUUCAAAUCUG